RNAcentral lists this ribosomal RNA (619 nucleotides) under Pseudoalteromonas sp. SW6. Its description in RNAcentral is "bacterial SSU rRNA". It matches the Rfam family "Bacterial small subunit ribosomal RNA", at positions 89 to 704 of the family's 1533-position model. The record is from RNAcentral. Lineage: Bacteria; Pseudomonadati; Pseudomonadota; Gammaproteobacteria; Alteromonadales; Pseudoalteromonadaceae.
CGUCGAGCGGCGGACGGGUGAGUAAUGCUUGGGAAUAUGCCUUAUGGUGGGGGACAACAGUUGGAAACGACUGCUAAUACCGCAUAAUGUCUACGGACCAAAGUGGGGGACCUUCGGGCCUCACGCCAUAAGAUUAGCCCAAGUGGGAUUAGCUAGUUGGUGAGGUAAUGGCUCACCAAGGCGACGAUCCCUAGCUGGUUUGAGAGGAUGAUCAGCCACACUGGGACUGAGACACGGCCCAGACUCCUACGGGAGGCAGCAGUGGGGAAUAUUGCACAAUGGGCGCAAGCCUGAUGCAGCCAUGCCGCGUGUGUGAAGAAGGCCUUCGGGUUGUAAAGCACUUUCAGUAAGGAGGAAAGGUUAAGUGUUAAUAGCACUUAGCUGUGACGUUACUUACAGAAGAAGCACCGGCUAACUCCGUGCCAGCAGCCGCGGUAAUACGGAGGGUGCGAGCGUUAAUCGGAAUUACUGGGCGUAAAGCGUACGCAGGCGGUUUGUUAAGCGAGAUGUGAAAGCCCCGGGCUCAACCUGGGAACUGCAUUUCGAACUGGCAAACUAGAGUGUGAUAGAGGGUGGUAGAAUUUCAGGUGUAGCGGUGAAAUGCGUAGAGAUCUGAAGG